RNAcentral lists this ribosomal RNA (2910 nucleotides) under Serratia nevei. RNAcentral describes it as "23S ribosomal RNA". It matches the Rfam family "Bacterial large subunit ribosomal RNA". The record is from RNAcentral. Lineage: Bacteria; Pseudomonadati; Pseudomonadota; Gammaproteobacteria; Enterobacterales; Yersiniaceae.
GGUUAAGUGACUAAGCGUACACGGUGGAUGCCUAGGCAGUCAGAGGCGAUGAAGGGCGUGCUAAUCUGCGAAAAGCGUCGGUAAGGUGAUAUGAACCGUUACAACCGGCGAUACCCGAAUGGGGAAACCCAGUGUGUUUCGACACACUAUCAUGUCAUGAAUACAUAGUGGCAUGAGGCGAACCGGGGGAACUGAAACAUCUAAGUACCCCGAGGAAAAGAAAUCAACCGAGAUUCCCCCAGUAGCGGCGAGCGAACGGGGAGGAGCCCAGAACCUGAAUCGGCUUGUGUGUUAGUGGAAGCGUCUGGAAAGUCGCGCAGUAAAGGGUGAUAGCCCCGUACACUAAAAUGCACAGGUCGUGAGUUCGAUGAGUAGGGCGGGACACGUGACAUCCUGUCUGAAUAUGGGGGGACCAUCCUCCAAGGCUAAAUACUCCUGACUGACCGAUAGUGAACCAGUACCGUGAGGGAAAGGCGAAAAGAACCCCGGCGAGGGGAGUGAAAUAGAACCUGAAACCGUGUACGUACAAGCAGUGGGAGCACCUUCGUGGUGUGACUGCGUACCUUUUGUAUAAUGGGUCAGCGACUUAUAUUUUGUAGCAAGGUUAACCGUAUAGGGGAGCCGUAGGGAAACCGAGUCUUAACUGGGCGAAUAGUUGCAAGGUAUAGACCCGAAACCCGGUGAUCUAGCCAUGGGCAGGUUGAAGGUUGGGUAACACUAACUGGAGGACCGAACCGACUAAUGUUGAAAAAUUAGCGGAUGACUUGUGGCUGGGGGUGAAAGGCCAAUCAAACCGGGAGAUAGCUGGUUCUCCCCGAAAGCUAUUUAGGUAGCGCCUCGUGAACUCAUCUUCGGGGGUAGAGCACUGUUUCGGCUAGGGGGCCAUCCCGGCUUACCAAACCGAUGCAAACUCCGAAUACCGAAGAAUGUUAUCACGGGAGACACACGGCGGGUGCUAACGUCCGUCGUGAAGAGGGAAACAACCCAGACCGCCAGCUAAGGUCCCAAAGUCAUGGUUAAGUGGGAAACGAUGUGGGAAGGCAUAGACAGCCAGGAUGUUGGCUUAGAAGCAGCCAUCAUUUAAAGAAAGCGUAAUAGCUCACUGGUCGAGUCGGCCUGCGCGGAAGAUGUAACGGGGCUAAACCAUGCACCGAAGCUGCGGCAGCGACGCUUAGGCGUUGUUGGGUAGGGGAGCGUUCUGUAAGCCGUUGAAGGUGGCCUGUGAGGGUUGCUGGAGGUAUCAGAAGUGCGAAUGCUGACAUAAGUAACGAUAAAGCGGGUGAAAAGCCCGCUCGCCGGAAGACCAAGGGUUCCUGUCCAACGUUAAUCGGGGCAGGGUGAGUCGACCCCUAAGGCGAGGCUGAAAAGCGUAGUCGAUGGGAAACAGGUUAAUAUUCCUGUACUUGGUGUUACUGCGAAGGGGGGACGGAGAAGGCUAGGCUAGCCGGGCGACGGUUGUCCCGGUUUAAGCGUGUAGGGGGUGUGACCUGGUAAAUCCGGUUGCAUAUCAACCCUGAGGCGUGAUGACGAUGCACUACGGUGCAGAAGUAGUUGAUGCCCUGCUUCCAGGAAAAGCCUCUAAGCUCCAGGUAACAUUGAAUCGUACCCCAAACCGACACAGGUGGUCAGGUAGAGAAUACCAAGGCGCUUGAGAGAACUCGGGUGAAGGAACUAGGCAAAAUGGUGCCGUAACUUCGGGAGAAGGCACGCUGGCAUGUAGGUGAAGUCCCUUGCGGAUGGAGCUGAAGCCAGUCGAAGAUACCAGCUGGCUGCAACUGUUUAAUAAAAACACAGCACUGUGCAAACACGAAAGUGGACGUAUACGGUGUGACGCCUGCCCGGUGCUGGAAGGUUAAUUGAUGGGGUCAGCCGCAAGGCGAAGCUCUUGAUCGAAGCCCCAGUAAACGGCGGCCGUAACUAUAACGGUCCUAAGGUAGCGAAAUUCCUUGUCGGGUAAGUUCCGACCUGCACGAAUGGCGUAAUGAUGGCCAGGCUGUCUCCACCCGAGACUCAGUGAAAUUGAACUCGCUGUGAAGAUGCAGUGUACCCGCGGCAAGACGGAAAGACCCCGUGAACCUUUACUAUAGCUUGACACUGAACAUUGAGCCUUGAUGUGUAGGAUAGGUGGGAGGCUUUGAAGCGUGGACGCCAGUCUGCGUGGAGCCAUCCUUGAAAUACCACCCUUUAAUGUUUGAUGUUCUAACUCGGCCCCAUAAUCUGGGGUGAGGACAGUGUCUGGUGGGUAGUUUGACUGGGGCGGUCUCCUCCCAAAGAGUAACGGAGGAGCACGAAGGUUAGCUAAUCACGGUCGGACAUCGUGAGGUUAGUGCAAAGGCAUAAGCUAGCUUGACUGCGAGAGUGACGGCUCGAGCAGGUACGAAAGUAGGUCUUAGUGAUCCGGUGUGGUUCUGAAUGGAAGGGCCAUCGCUCAACGGAUAAAAGGUACUCCGGGGAUAACAGGCUGAUACCGCCCAAGAGUUCAUAUCGACGGCGGUGUUUGGCACCUCGAUGUCGGCUCAUCACAUCCUGGGGCUGAAGUAGGUCCCAAGGGUAUGGCUGUUCGCCAUUUAAAGUGGUACGCGAGCUGGGUUUAGAACGUCGUGAGACAGUUCGGUCCCUAUCUGCCGUGGGCGUUGGAAGAUUGAGAGGGGUUGCUCCUAGUACGAGAGGACCGGAGUGAACGCACCACUGGUGUUCGGGUUGUCAUGCCAAUGGCAUUGCCCGGUAGCUAAGUGCGGAAAAGAUAAGCGCUGAAAGCAUCUAAGCGCGAAACUUGCCUCAAGAUGAGUCUUCCCUGGGCCUUUAAGGCCCCUGAAGGAACGUUUAAGACUAAGACGUUGAUAGGCUGGGUGUGUAAGUGCAGCGAUGCAUUGAGCUAACCAGUACUAAUGAUCCGUGAGGCUUAACCUU